AGCUGGUGUUGAGAGGCGGAGACUUGGGCAAUUGCCAGCCAUUCCAGACGGCAUUGCACUUGUCUCGGUCUGACAGUACCGGCA
Salmo salar (Atlantic salmon) is the source of this 84-nucleotide non-coding RNA. The record is from Rfam. Lineage: Eukaryota; Metazoa; Chordata; Actinopteri; Salmoniformes; Salmonidae.